UCCCUUGUGGCUCAGCUGGUAAAGAAUCCGCCUGCAAUGCGGGAGACCUGGGUUCAAUCCCUGGAUUGGGAA
This 72-nucleotide transfer RNA is filed under the name Odocoileus virginianus texanus. It matches the Rfam family "tRNA". From Rfam's summary of the family: Transfer RNA (tRNA) molecules are approximately 80 nucleotides in length. Their secondary structure includes four short double-helical elements and three loops (D, anti-codon, and T loops). RNAcentral also lists the same sequence under 7 other names. The record is from Rfam by way of RNAcentral. Lineage: Eukaryota; Metazoa; Chordata; Mammalia; Artiodactyla; Cervidae.